This 963-nucleotide ribosomal RNA is filed under the name uncultured bacterium. RNAcentral's name for it is "bacterial SSU rRNA". It matches the Rfam family "Bacterial small subunit ribosomal RNA", at positions 28 to 987 of the family's 1533-position model. The record is from RNAcentral.
AUUGAACGCUGGCGGCAUGCCUUACACAUGCAAGUCGAACGGCAGCACGGAGCUUGCUCUGGUGGCGAGUGGCGAACGGGUGAGUAAUAUAUCGGAACGUACCCUAGAGUGGGGGAUAACGUAGCGAAAGUUACGCUAAUACCGCAUACGAUCUAAGGAUGAAAGUGGGGGAUCGCAAGACCUCAUGCUCGUGGAGCGGCCGAUAUCUGAUUAGCUAGUUGGUAGGGUAAAAGCCUACCAAGGCAUCGAUCAGUAGCUGGUCUGAGAGGACGACCAGCCACACUGGAACUGAGACACGGUCCAGACUCCUACGGGAGGCAGCAGUGGGGAAUUUUGGACAAUGGGCGAAAGCCUGAUCCAGCAAUGCCGCGUGAGUGAAGAAGGCCUUCGGGUUGUAAAGCUCUUUUGUCAGGGAAGAAACGGUGAGAGCUAAUAUCUCUUGCUAAUGACGGUACCUGAAGAAUAAGCACCGGCUAACUACGUGCCAGCAGCCGCGGUAAUACGUAGGGUGCAAGCGUUAAUCGGAAUUACUGGGCGUAAAGCGUGCGCAGGCGGUUUUGUAAGUCUGAUGUGAAAUCCCCGGGCUCAACCUGGGAAUUGCAUUGGAGACUGCAAGGCUAGAAUCUGGCAGAGGGGGGUAGAAUUCCACGUGUAGCAGUGAAAUGCGUAGAUAUGUGGAGGAACACCGAUGGCGAAGGCAGCCCCCUGGGUCAAGAUUGACGCUCAUGCACGAAAGCGUGGGGAGCAAACAGGAUUAGAUACCCUGGUAGUCCACGCCCUAAACGAUGUCUACUAGUUGUCGGGUCUUAAUUGACUUGGUAACGCAGCUAACGCGUGAAGUAGACCGCCUGGGGAGUACGGUCGCAAGAUUAAAACUCAAAGGAAUUGACGGGGACCCGCACAAGCGGUGGAUGAUGUGGAUUAAUUCGAUGCAACGCGAAAAACCUUACCUACCCUUGACAU